Gossypium raimondii (Peruvian cotton) is the source of this 656-nucleotide long non-coding RNA. RefSeq lists it as uncharacterized. The record is from RefSeq and is a predicted model, not a curated record. The transcript is spliced from 2 exons. Lineage: Eukaryota; Viridiplantae; Streptophyta; Magnoliopsida; Malvales; Malvaceae.
CGUUUUAAUGUCUUUAUUUAAACAACCCUUUUUUUAUUUUUUUUAUUUUCCCACCCUUCACACUAAAAAAACUGCAGCAACCCUUUCAAAGCCUCCCCCAUGCCUUCCGACGGUUGGGCUUCACACCGCCGUUCAUCCGUCCACCGCACCGCCACUAAACCGACGGUCGACGAAGCGUGAUGAAGGUCUUUUAAAGCCCGGUUCUAGGCGGGCUAUGGGGUCAGGCUUGGACGGAGGGAACGAAGAGCCUUGCACCCCAUUUAGACCCGAUUUCGACGACGGCGAGAGGACCUCCGUCGACGGAGCCACAGAACGAUUCAGGUGCUGACAAGACGUAACAGACACGAAAUCGGCCAUUCGGAGUUGCGACGGUGGCGUUUGGAGGUGCUGGAUCUGGGCAGAGAUAGGAGCGGCGGCCUUAGGGUUUUCUUACUGAAAAUUUUUCAGUUUGUGGGCUGGGGUAGGUUUGGGUUUAAGUUUGGUUUUAGGUUAGUGGGCUUUAGUUUGGGUACUAGGCCCGGGUCAAAAAUUGGUUUGUACAAAUUCCAUUUUAGACAUCCUAAAAUUAAUCAUACAACGUGAUUCGUGACCGUCAAGGAUCUCUCGGAUCCAUGUCUCAUCUGACUGUUUUGAAUCCAUGCAUGGUUGUUUCAAUA